CGGCAGGGAGAAGCGCGGCCCGCUUCAUCUGUGGGUGAUGGGGGCCGUAUGUCCCAUUUGCGUGCUCUGCGCAUGAGGAAGAGGCCUCAAGCAUGUGAAAGGCAACUCAAGACUCUUCAUGUCACUAAAAAGUGUGCUUCUGCUUGUGUGACCUCUGCAUCUAACUGGAGGAUAAAUCCCUGCAUCUGCUGGGUUCUCACAUAAUCCUGAUCCUUGACACUGGGCUGCAAAGGAGUGGUCCCUUCCUGCCACCCUCCUUCAGGCAGCUUGCCCUGUGCAAGAGCUUCCACCCAUGAUGCUGCCUUGCAGAGAAGAACCAGGGAAACAUGUUUCAUUCUGAGAUAUUCCCAGAUCUCUGGCUACACAGCCCUGCUCAACAGCAGGAGAAAACAAUGGUGAAGAAAGUAAAGCCCAAGGAAUAAGACUGUGACAUUGAUGACUAGGGUAUUAUGAACAGCUCAGCAAGAAAUACUGUUCUACCUAACCUGCCAGAGAGCUCAGAAGUGAGGCAAGUCAUGGAAGUGCUGGAUUGUGGUUCUAGCUUGAAUUUUACCCAUGUAAGUAUACAAAAGUUGAGUAGAAUCUCAUUUAGGGUGCAAGAUGCACUCUAGUUCAAAGGCUGAACUGGGCAGGAGUGAGAGAAAUGGAGAAAGCAGUAGAAUGCAGAUACAAUUCAAGUACAAGUAUAAUGAAUAUUAUAUAAGCCAUGUUUGAAAGUGGGAACAUUUGGAAUAGAAAGUAUCUUGAAGCAUUUAUGACCAUUAUCAGGCAUUCAAGAUUUUGUGCUUCUGUGUGUCACCUUAGUUCCAACAGAGUCCCAGAUUCCAAUUUCUACUAUUUAUUCUCUGCCUUUCUUGACCAUGUAUGCAAAAUACUUUACAAACCUAGCAGACGGGUGCUU
This is a long non-coding RNA of Pezoporus flaviventris, 901 nucleotides long. RefSeq lists it as uncharacterized. The record is from RefSeq and is a predicted model, not a curated record. Lineage: Eukaryota; Metazoa; Chordata; Aves; Psittaciformes; Psittacidae. The transcript has 4 exons.